GGCUCGGUAGCUCAGUUGGUAGAGCAAUGGACUGAAAAUCCAUGUGUCGCCGGUUCAAUCCCGGCUUGAGCCACCA
RNAcentral lists this transfer RNA (76 nucleotides) under Bacillota bacterium. RNAcentral's name for it is "tRNA-Phe". It matches the Rfam family "tRNA". Rfam says of the family: Transfer RNA (tRNA) molecules are approximately 80 nucleotides in length. Their secondary structure includes four short double-helical elements and three loops (D, anti-codon, and T loops). The record is from RNAcentral. Lineage: Bacteria; Bacillati; Bacillota.